RNAcentral lists this ribosomal RNA (807 nucleotides) under uncultured bacterium. Its description in RNAcentral is "bacterial SSU rRNA". It matches the Rfam family "Bacterial small subunit ribosomal RNA", at positions 56 to 866 of the family's 1533-position model. The record is from RNAcentral.
UGCAAGCCGAGCGGUAUUUGUCUUUCGGGACAGAGAGAGCGGCGUACGGGUGCGGAACACGUGUGCAACCUGCCUUUAUCUGGGGGAUAGCCUUUCGAAAGGAAGAUUAAUACCCCAUAAUAUAAUUGAUGGCAUCAUUGAUUAUUGAAAACUCCGGUGGAUAGAGAUGGGCACGCGCAAGAUUAGAUAGUUGGUGAGGUAACGGCUCACCAAGUCGAUGAUCUUUAGGGGGCCUGAGAGGGUGAUCCCCCACACUGGUACUGAGACACGGACCAGACUCCUACGGGAGGCAGCAGUAAGGAAUAUUGGUCAAUGGAGGCAACUCUGAACCAGCCAUGCCGCGUGCAGGAAGACUGCCCUAUGGGUUGUAAACUGCUUUUAUCUGGGAAUAAACCUAUUUACGUGUAGAUAGCUGAAUGUACCAGAAGAAUAAGGAUCGGCUAACUCCGUGCCAGCAGCCGCGGUAAUACGGAGGAUCCAAGCGUUAUCCGGAUUUAUUGGGUUUAAAGGGUGCGUAGGCGGCCUGUUAAGUCAGAGGUGAAAGACGGUAGCUCAACUAUCACAGUGCCUUUGAUACUGAUGGGCUUGAAUGGACUAGAGGUAGGCGGAAUGAGACAAGUAGCGGUGAAAUGCAUAGAUAUGUCUCAGAACACCGAUUGCGAAGGCAGCUUACUAUGGUUUUAUUGACGCUGAGGCACGAAAGCGUGGGGAUCAAACAGGAUUAGAUACCCUGGUAGUCCACGCCCUAAACGAUGAACACUCGCUGUUGGCGAUACACAGUCAGCGGCUAAGCGAAAGCGUUAAGUG